This is an RNA transcript of Musa acuminata AAA Group (dessert banana), 3056 nucleotides long. It is a transcript of the gene named cullin-3A-like, with no coding region annotated. The transcript has 3 exons. Lineage: Eukaryota; Viridiplantae; Streptophyta; Magnoliopsida; Zingiberales; Musaceae. The record is from RefSeq and is a predicted model, not a curated record.
CCCUCGUUCCCCCCUUCUCUCUCUUCCGGUUCCUUCUAACCCCUCCCAAUCUUUACGGUUGAAGCCCUAACUCGCGAUCGGGGCGGUGCCUUUUCGGUUUCCACUUGGUUUCUACGCCGGUGACCGAUCGAUUCGUCUGCCGAUUCCGUCGCUGGAUUUGGGGAAAAGGGUCGGUGCUUCCGGCCGGCUGCGGCGGCGAGGAUGAGCGCCCAGAAGAAGCGCAACUUCAAGAUCGAGGCGUUCAAGCACCGGGUCGAGCUCGACCCCAACUACGCCGAGAGGACAUGGAGGGUGUUGGAGCAUGCGAUCCACGAGAUUUACAACCACAACGCCAGCGGCCUCUCCUUCGAGGAGCUCUAUAGAAAUGCUUACAAUAUGGUGCUGCACAAAUAUGGGGAAAAGCUCUACUCUGGACUUGUGAAUACUAUGACAGGACAUCUAAAAGAAAUUGCAAGAUCAAUAGAAGCUGCUCAAGGAGGUUUCUUUUUAGAGGAGCUUAAUGUAAAAUGGGGAGACCACAACAAGGCAUUGCAGAUGAUCCGAGACAUACUGAUGUACAUGGAUAGGACAUUUGUUCCCAGUAAUCACAAGACACCCGUUCAUGAGCUUGGACUUAAUCUCUGGAGGGAUAAUAUCAUCCAUUCCAGCAAAAUCCAGACCAGGCUACUGGAUAUGCUUCUUGACCUCAUUUAUAGGGAGAGAACAGGCGAGGUAAUAAAUAGAGGGUUGAUGAGGAAUAUAACAAAAAUGUUAAUGGAUCUUGGAUCUUCUGUGUAUCAAGAAGAUUUUGAGAAACCAUUUCUAGGGGUCUCAGCUAGUUUUUACAGUGUAGAAUCUCAACAACUCAUCGAGUGCUGUGAUUGUGGUGAGUACCUCAGGAAAGCUGAGAGACGUCUUAAUGAAGAGAUCGAGAGGGUCUCACACUACUUAGAUGUCAAAAGUGAAGUGAAAAUAACUAGUGUAGUGGAGGGAGAGAUGAUUGCCAACCACAUGCAGAGGCUGGUCCACAUGGAGAAUUCUGGUCUUGUGAGUAUGCUUGUAGAUGACAAGUACGAAGACUUAAGCAGAAUGUACAACUUAUUCCGCCGAGUUCCCGAUGGGCUUUCAACUAUUAAAGAUGUGAUGACUUCUCACCUUCGAGAAACUGGAAAGCAGUUAGUAAGCGACCCUGAGAAAUUAAAGGACCCAGUGGACUUUGUACAACAUCUUUUGGAUGAGAAGGAUAAGUAUGAUAAGAUAAUACGCAAAGCAUUCAACAAUGAUAAGACAUUCCAGAAUGCUUUGAACUCUUCAUUUGAAUACUUUAUUAACCUAAACAACAGGUCUCCUGAGUUCAUAUCACUUUAUGUUGAUGAUAAGCUUCGCAAAGGGCUCAAAGGGGUAAGUGAGGAGGAUGUGGAGGUAGUUCUGGACAAAGUGAUGAUGUUGUUUCGGUACUUGCAAGAGAAGGAUGUAUUUGAGAAAUAUUACAAACAACACUUGGCAAAGCGGCUUCUUUCAGGAAAAUCUGUUUCCGAUGAUACAGAGAGAAGUAUGAUUGUUAAGCUCAAGACAGAAUGUGGGUAUCAGUUCACUUCUAAAUUGGAAGGCAUGUUUACAGACAUGAAGACUUCCAUAGAUACUAUGCAAGGAUUCUAUUCUAGUCAGUAUUCUGAGAUUGGAGAUGGCCCCACCCUUGCUGUGCAAGUUCUUACAACUGGUUCAUGGCCAACACAGCCUAGUGCACCUUGCAACCUUCCAGCUGAAAUUCUUGUCAUAUGUGAGAAGUUCCGGACAUUUUAUCUUGGGACGCAUACUGGGCGUAGAUUGACAUGGCAAACAAAUAUGGGUACAGCUGAUAUUAAGGCAACCUUUGGCAAGGGCCAGAAGCAUGAGCUGAAUGUUUCGACAUAUCAAAUGUGUAUUCUUAUGCUAUAUAACUCCACAGAUCAGUUGACGUACAGAGAAAUAGAACAGGCUACAGAAAUCCCACCUUCUGAUCUGAAGCGUUGUCUUCAGUCUCUUGCUUGUGUCAAAGGUAAGAAUGUCCUGCGCAAGGAGCCAAUGAGCAAGGAUAUAGCUGAGGAUGAUGCUUUCUACUUCAAUGACAAAUUUAUGAGUAAGUUUUUCAAGGUGAAGAUAGGAACUGUGGCAGCACAAAAGGAGUCAGAGCCAGAGAAGCAGGAGACUCGCCAAAGAGUGGAAGAAGAUAGAAAACCACAGAUUGAAGCUGCAAUUGUGAGGAUUAUGAAAUCCCGAAGGGUAUUAGAUCAUAACACCAUUGUCACUGAGGUCACGUCACAAUUGCAAUCUCGCUUCCUGCCAAACCCGGUUAUUAUAAAAAAGCGAAUUGAGUCUCUCAUUGAACGGGAGUUUUUAGAAAGGGAUAAAGCAGACAGGAAAUUAUAUCGAUAUCUUGCUUGAAUGUCACAUGAAGUUUCCUGUGGAUGGAGGUCUUACUCUCUGAUUUCCAUAUAACUGGUAUAUUUGUGUGAUACAGUUAGGGCACGAUGCUUGUCUUAAUGGGGAUCAUCCGUGUAAAAAACCUGCUGGCAAUUUCAAGAGGGAAAGAUGUUCAGAUUGAAGUUGUACCUGGAAAUAUCGAGUCUUGAUUAUGCUGGUGUAUCCAAAAAUGUCCUUUGAUAGCUGGAAGGCCAUUCUACAGGUUGAAGUCUUGUACUGGAAAGACUCAGAUGCCCAUGAAGUAAUAAGUUAGGGAGAAAAAGAAACCCAGAAUUAUGGGGUUCACUGUUCAAUCCACAAAUCUGGCAAUGGAGCAAUUCGUAGCAGUUAAUUCAAGCUCGUUCAAUAUGCUUGGCAAAGCCUUUAGUCGAACCUGCCCCUUGUGAUGCCAUUCUACAUGGAAGGCCAUUCUACAGGUUGAUCCUAAAAUUGCUGAAACCUGCUCUGAUCAAGCUUAGUCCAACCAAAGUGAGUACCCUUGUUUAGUUAUUUUAAAAGCAUGAUUGAGCUGGAAAAUCCCUUUGAUUCUUGAUCGGAUUUUCCAUCUAAAAUUUUUGUUUUGCUAAUUCUCCAAUGUGAUUGCAAACUUGAAAUGUUAAAAGAAUUUUUUUGCA